UUUGCGAGGAUGCUGCAUAGAUAGGAGUGGAACUAUGUAGAAUAGAUAUUAGUUUAUUUUUGUAAGAUAUUGGUAAAAUAGAUUAAUAGUCCUUAGAAUAGUUAGUUUAAGAGGACGGAUGAUUGAUUCAAUUAUUAAAAUCGGUUAUUAUAGGAUUACGGUUAGAAUCUAGAAAUCAGUAGUAAUUAUAUAGGAGUUGUAGAAGUUUAUUGGGGGGCCAGACUGUGAUAGUCAUGAGUCGGGGUUAAAUUUGGUGCUUUCUCUUUGUUUCUUUUGUUUUCUUUGUUAUUGAAGAAUAAUGGAUAGUUUCUAAAUACUGAGAAGUGAGUCUGUGGAAUAAAUCAAAGAUUGAUUUAUGAGUUAUUGAUUAUGUAAUUGAAGUAUUGAAAGAUUGAAUUAUAUGAGAAGUUAUUGGAAGAUUGAUUAUGGAUGGAAGAUUAUGAUUCUUGUUUAUUGAGAGUUGUGUGUGUGUUUCGACAGAGGAAGUUUGUGAUUACAGGAAUUCUAAUAAUUCAGAUUGGUUGGAGUGAAGUCUGUUAUUCCUGGUAUUGGAUGGAAUUUAGUGAGUUUUGAGCGGUCUUUUGAGAGUGCAGGGUUGCACAUUGUGGUUAUUAGUUAAUGAAGGAGUAUUGUUAUUGAGAGGAAGCAUUGUAGUAUUUCUUAGUGUUUUAGUGAUUCAGAAUACAAUUAGUUGUGUGUCUCUAACAAGUAAAACUCAUGCGCUUAGUCUUUCCCUGUGUUUGAAUUCCCUUAUACAGAUUUAUUCUGGAAGGAAUUGUAGAAUAAGUAAAAUGACAAUCACAAAGAUGCUCUGAUUUCAAGAGAAUUAUCCAUUGUUAAUCGAAAGUAGCAUCUCUUUCCUUUGGU
This 867-nucleotide long non-coding RNA is filed under the name Physcomitrium patens. RNAcentral describes it as "long non-coding RNA (PPAT_LNC010114)". The record is from RNAcentral. Lineage: Eukaryota; Viridiplantae; Streptophyta; Bryopsida; Funariales; Funariaceae.